UACGUAGGGCGCAAGCGUGUCCGGGAAUUAUUGGGCGUAAAGAGCUCGUAGGCGGCCUGUUACGUCUGCUGUGAAAUCCCCGGGGGCUUAACCCCGGGCGUGCAGUGGAUACGGGCAGGCUGGAGGCAGGCAGGGGAGAACGGAAUUCCCGGUGUAGCGGUGAAAUGCGCAGAUAUCGGGAGGAACACCGGUGGCGAAGGCGGUUCCCUGGGCCUGUACUGACGGCUGAGGAGCGAAAGCGUGGGGAGCGAACAGGA
RNAcentral lists this ribosomal RNA (257 nucleotides) under uncultured bacterium. RNAcentral describes it as "partial 16S ribosomal RNA". It matches the Rfam family "Bacterial small subunit ribosomal RNA", at positions 524 to 777 of the family's 1533-position model. The record is from RNAcentral.